This 456-nucleotide ribosomal RNA is filed under the name uncultured bacterium. RNAcentral's name for it is "partial 16S ribosomal RNA". It matches the Rfam family "Bacterial small subunit ribosomal RNA", at positions 338 to 792 of the family's 1533-position model. The record is from RNAcentral.
CCUACGGGAGGCAGCAGUGAGGAAUAUUGGUCAAUGGCCGCAGGGCUGAACCAGCCAAGUCGCGUGAGGGAUGACGGUCCUAUGGAUUGUAAACCUCUUUUGUCAGGGAGCAAAGGGCGCCACGUGUGGCGCUUUGCGAGUACCUGAAGAAAAAGCAUCGGCUAACUCCGUGCCAGCAGCCGCGGUAAUACGGAGGAUGCGAGCGUUAUCCGGAUUUAUUGGGUUUAAAGGGUGCGCAGGCGGAAUGUCAAGUCAGCGGUAAAAUUUCGGGGCUCAACCCCGUCGUGCCGUUGAAACUGGCGUUCUUGAGUGAGCGAGAAGUAUGCGGAAUGCGGUGUGUAGCGGUGAAAUGCAUAGAUAUCACGCAGAACUCCGAUUGCGAAGGCAGCAUACCGGCGCCCAACUGACGCUCAUGCACGAAAGCGUGGGUAUCGAACAGGAUUAGAUACCCUAGUC